AGUCGGUCCCCUCGCAAUGAUAACCUGUGAACCCCGCCAGGCCCGGAAGGGAGCAACGGUAGCAGUUAGUCGUGUGCCGGGGUGUGGCUGAUUAGG
Molecule: signal recognition particle RNA, 96 nt
Filed under: Moraxellaceae bacterium
Lineage: Bacteria; Pseudomonadati; Pseudomonadota; Gammaproteobacteria; Moraxellales; Moraxellaceae
Description: signal recognition particle sRNA small type
Rfam family: Bacterial small signal recognition particle RNA
About the family: The signal recognition particle (SRP) is a universally conserved ribonucleoprotein involved in the co-translational targeting of proteins to membranes. Archaeal SRP consists of a 7S RNA and homologues of the eukaryotic SRP19 and SRP54 proteins.
Source: RNAcentral